AUUGAACGCUGGCGGCAUGCCUUACACAUGCAAGUAGAACGGUAACAGGUCUUCGGAUGCUGACGAGUGGCGAACGGGUGAGUAAUACAUCGGAACGUGCCUAGUAGUGGGGGAUAACUACUCGAAAGAGUGGCUAAUACCGCAUACGACCUACGGGUGAAAGCAGGGGAUCGCAAGACCUUGUGCUAUUAGAGCGGCCGAUGGCGGAUUAGGUAGUUGGUGGGAUAAAAGCUUACCAAGCCGACGAUCUGUAGCUGGUCUGAGAGGACGAUCAGCCACACGGGGACAGGGAAACGGCCCAGACUCCUACGGGAGGCAGCCGUGGGUAAUUUUGGACAAUGGGCGCAAGCCUGAUCCAGCAAUGCCGCGUGCAGGAUGAAGGCCUUCGGGUUGUAAACUGCUUUUGUACGGAACGAAAAGCCCCGGGUUAAUACCCUGGGGUCAUGACGGUACCGUAAGAAUAAGCACCGGCUAACUACGUGCCAGCCGCCGCCGUAA
This 498-nucleotide ribosomal RNA is filed under the name uncultured bacterium. RNAcentral describes it as "partial 16S ribosomal RNA". It matches the Rfam family "Bacterial small subunit ribosomal RNA", at positions 30 to 523 of the family's 1533-position model. The record is from RNAcentral.